CCGGACGUGGAGACCAGGAGAUCCUGUCAGAGCAAAGGCAAAACAGAGAUUGAAUGUCAGAACUACAUCAGGGUCCUGCUGGUGAACAAGACGGAGGUCAUGACCUGCGGAACCAACGCUUUCCAGCCGCUCAGCGUGCUGGAGCGCGUGAACGGCGUGGCGCGCUGCCCGUACGACCCGCGCCACAACUCCACGGCGGUGGUGACGGAGAGCGGCGAGCUGUACGCCGCCACGGUCAUCGACUUCUCCGGCCGCGACCCCGUCAUCUACCGCAGCCUGGGCGGCAUGCCGCCUCUCCGGACCGCCCAGUACAACUCAAAGUGGCUCAACGAGCCCCACUUCAUCUCGGCCUACGACAUCGGCCUCUUCACCUUCUUCUUCCUGCGGGAGAACGCCGUGGAGCACGACUGCGGCAAGACGGUGUACUCGCGCGUGGCGCGCGUCUGCAAGAACGACAUCGGCGGCCGCUUCCUGCUGGAGGACACGUGGACCACGUUCAUGAAGGCGCGGCUCAACUGCUCGCGCUCGGGCGAGAUCCCCUUCUACUACAACGAGCUGCAGAGCACCUUCUACCUGCCGGAGCAGGACCUCAUCUACGGCAUCUUCACCACCAAUGUCAACAGUAUUGCAGCGUCCGCAGUGUGUGCCUUCAACCUGAGCGCCAUCACCCAGGCUUUCAACGGGCCCUUCCGCUCGCAGGAGAACCCCCGCUCCACCUGGCUUCCCACGCCCAACCCCAUCCACAACUUCCAGUGUGGUACUAUAGACGAUCAGGGUCCCAACGAGGGUCUGACGGAGCGCAGCCUGCAGGACGCCCAGAGGCUCUACCUGAUGAACGACGUGGUCCAGCCGGAGUCUGUCGAUCCGCUGGUGAUGCAGGACGACGUUCGCUUCUCCAACCUGGUCGUGGACAUUGUCCAGGGCAUGGAGACGCUCUACCACGUUAUGUAUAUCAGCACAGAACCUACAAGGCUGUUACUGGAGGAGAUGGAGCUCCUCCCACCGGGGGUUCGGGAACCAAUCCUUAGCCUGCAGAUCCUGCACAGCGACAGGUCGCUCUUCGUGGGACUCAACGACAGAGUCCUGAAGAUCCCGCUGGAGCGGUGCUCCACCUACAAAACUGAGACGCUGUGCUUGGAGGCCAGGGAUCCCUACUGUGGCUGGGACUUCCGGCAGCGGAGGUGCACCACGCUGGAGGACAGCUCCAACAUGAGCCAGUGGAAGCAGAACAUCACCGCCUGUCCGCUGCGGAACCAAACCACCAAUGGCGGCUUCGGGGCCUGGGCGCCCUGGCAACCGUGCAACAACGACGACGGCGUGGAUGGCGUGAGCUCCUGUUUGUGUCGCUCCAGGACCUGCGACAGCCCCGCCCCCCGAUGUGGAGGCAGGAACUGCGAGGGCUCCACCAUCGAAGUCGCCAACUGCUCCAGAAAUGGAGGCUGGACGCCCUGGUCGUCGUGGGGACAGUGCAGCACGACCUGCGGCACGGGCUUCGAGCUGCGGCAGCGCUCCUGCAACAACCCUUCGCCGCGACACGGCGGCCGCGUGUGCGUGGGGCCGAGCAGGGACGAGAGGUUCUGUAAUGAAGGGGUGGCCUGUCCGCAGCCCAUCUUCUGGACGCCGUGGGGAUCGUGGACCAAGUGCAGCACCGAGUGCGGGGGAGGCGUCCACUCCAGGGUCCGCACUUGUGAGAACGGCAACAGCUGCCCAGGAUGUGCACUGGAAUACAAGGCGUGUAACCUGGAGGCGUGUCCGGAGGUCAAGAGGAACACGCCGUGGACGCCCUGGAUGCCCGUCAACGUGACCCAGGGCGGCGCUCGCCAGGAGCAGCGGAUGCGCUACAUGUGCCGGGCGCACCUGUCCGAUCCCCACGAGCUGCAGAUCGGACGCAGGAAGGUGGAGACGCGCUUCUGUCCCAACGACGGCACGGCCGCCUGCGAGACGGACAGUAAACCGUUUUCUCUAGCGGCCGGCUCCGGCUGGUCGUCGUGGGAGACCUGGUCCAGCUGCUCGCAGAGCUGCGCCAAGGGCUACCGCACCCGUCGGCGAUCGUGCGCCGGGCCGGAGGGAAAGAGCGCCCCCGUCGCCUGCCGGGGCUCGCCCGUCGAGUACCAGGACUGCAACGUGCAGGCCUGUCCCGUGAAAGGUGCGUGGUCCUGCUGGUCGUCCUGGUCCCUGUGCUCCGUGGGCUGCGGCGGCGGUCACUACCAGCGCACGCGCUCCUGUAACAGCCCGGCGCCCGCCAGCGGGGGGGACAUCUGCAUCGGACUGCACACCGAGGAGGCCCUCUGCAACACACACACCUGCGACGGUGGCUGGAUGGCCUGGUCGCUGUGGUCGGCCUGCGAUGAUUCGGGCUCGCAGAUGAGGAGUCGGGUGUGCGGCGCUCAGGGCAACAGCCCGUGUGUGGGCAACAGCACCCAGCGGCGAGACUGCAACGAAAUACCUGGUGAGUGGGUCACACCGCGUGCAUUGCGGCCUCCUUCGACAGGUCGAGCGUUCACCUCCAUCCACCUGAUCGCCACCGGUGUGUCCUGUUUCCUCGGGGCGGGCCUGCUGUCCUUCCUGAUCUACGUCUACUGCCAGCGCUUCCACAAGCCCUCGCAGGAGUCCGCCGUCAUCCACCCCACCACGCCCAACCACCUCAACUACAAGGGCAACACCACGCCAAAGAACGAGAAGUACACGCCCAUGGAGUUCAAGGUAUUCUUUUAG
Long non-coding RNA from Scophthalmus maximus (turbot), 2715 nucleotides. NCBI's taxonomy places the organism in Eukaryota, Metazoa, Chordata, Actinopteri, Pleuronectiformes, Scophthalmidae. The record is from Ensembl.